Molecule: long non-coding RNA, 345 nt
Organism: Melospiza melodia melodia
Lineage: Eukaryota; Metazoa; Chordata; Aves; Passeriformes; Passerellidae
Exons: 3
Source: RefSeq, a predicted model, not a curated record
GAGGAGGGCAAGCAGGAGGAGAAGCAACCAGUUUGCAAUAUUCUAGUCAUGGAAAUUGGCUGGAAAACCAGGAAAUCCAACCACAUAGCCAUUCCUUCAGCCUGAAGGUCCUCUAGCCUGUUGAAAAAGACACUGGUGCUGGGACAUCUAUACAGUCUGCAGUGUUUCCUGUACUGCCUUCCAGACGGUUACAAGGAGGUGGAAAAGUUAUUGCAGAAAUUUGGGGGAACUGAAGGUGAUGGAACUGCAUUGCUUGUGAGAAAACAGCUGAUGCACGUGGUAAGAGUAGAACACCGUAAAUGAGUUAGCAAAGCUGGGGGUUAAAUGGUGAAGAUUGUUCCUGAC